Molecule: long non-coding RNA, 1053 nt
Filed under: Homo sapiens (human)
Lineage: Eukaryota; Metazoa; Chordata; Mammalia; Primates; Hominidae
Description: HSALNT0046987
Source: RNAcentral
AGAUGCCAAAAUGGAACCAAAUCUCCAUGAACUCUGCUAAUGGAAGACGAGGAAAAGGCAGAAUAGAAAUCUUAGAGGUAUUCCCGGAACUGGGAUUAAUCAGAAGUCAACAUGGUGGAUUAGCAUGUAAGAUGGAGUUGCUUUAACCUGCACAUCUUUGCUAUUACAAAUAGUGCUAUUAUAUAUAUAUAAAAUAUGAUUUAUAUAUGAUAUAUAUAUAAAAGUGUGAAUAAUCUUGCUGUUUUCUUUUAUGAUUUAAUUUUUCAGUCUAUAAGAUUGAACAUAUGUCAUUUUGUUUAUACAUGUGUUAUAGAUUGAGUAUUUGUGUUCCCCCAUCAAAUACGCUGAAGCCUUAACUCCCAGUAUGACUCUAUUGGGAGAUAGGGCCCGUGAGGAGGUAAUAAAGGUUAAAUGAGGGCAUAAUGGUGAGGCCCUGACCCAUUAGGCCUGGUACCCUUAUAAGAAAAGCAAGAGACAUCAGAGAUCUUUCUCUGCCAUGUGAGGACACAGUGAGAAAGUGGCUGUCUGUAAGCCAGGAAGACAUCCUUUACCAGGAACCAAAUCAGCCAGCACCUUCAUCUUGAACUUCCUGGCAUCCAGAACUAUAAGGAAUAAAUUUAUGUUGUUUAAGUCACCCAGUCUUUGGUAUUUUGUUAUGGCAGCCUGAGCUUACUAGUACAGUAAGCAUAUCUGAAGGCUAAAAUUGCCAGAAAUAGAAACAUGUAAUCACUAGGUCAGUAACCUAAGCAAACCCAAAUGGACCAAAUGCAACGCUGAUGGAAUCUAAGUGCUCAGACCAAGGAACGGGGACUGAAAUAACAGUGGACACCACAUGGCAUGAUCCAAUCAGAUUGAGCCCUGGAAAGAUCAUCCCAUGGCAAGAUCCAGUUAGAUUACACUUCCUGGCAUCACCUCAUUGCAAGAUCCAAGAUCAUGCCUCAUUACCUUCUGCCUGUAAAACCUGCCCCAGCCCCCAGCUCCAGGAGACAGAUUUGAGCCAGGCUCCUGUCUUUCUCUGCAGCCUUGCAAUAAACUUUUCUUUCUACAAAAACC